RNAcentral lists this ribosomal RNA (373 nucleotides) under uncultured organism. RNAcentral's name for it is "partial 16S ribosomal RNA". It matches the Rfam family "Bacterial small subunit ribosomal RNA", at positions 527 to 896 of the family's 1533-position model. The record is from RNAcentral.
GUAGGUGGCAAGCGUUGUCCGGAAUUAUCGGGCGUAAAGCGCGCGCAGGCGGUCCUCUAAGUCUGAUGUGAAAGCCCACGGCUCAACCGUGGAGGGUCAUUGGAAACUGGGGGACUUGAGUACAGAAGAGGAAAGCGGAAUUCCAAGUGUAGCGGUGAAAUGCGUAGAGAUUUGGAGGAACACCAGUGGCGAAGGCGGCUUUCUGGUCUGUAACUGACGCUGAGGCGCGAAAGCGUGGGGAGCAAACAGGGAUUAGAUACCCUGGUAGUCCACGCCGUAAACGAUGAGUGCUAAGUGUUAGGGGGUUUCCGCCCCCUUAGUGCUGCAGCUAACGCAUUAAGCACUCCGCCUGGGGAGUACGGCCGCAAGGCUG